UGCCUGUGUUCUCCUCAAGGAUUUUGAUGGAUUCCUUUCUCACAUUGAGGUCCUUCAUCCAUUUUGAGUCUAUUUUUGUGUGUGGUGUAAGGAAAUGGUCCAAUUUCAUUUUUCUGCAUGUGGCUGUCCAAUUUUCCCAACACCAUUUGUUGAAGAGGCUGUCUUUUUUCCAUUGGACAUUCUUUCCUGCUUUGUGGAAGAUUAGUUGACCAUAGAAUUGAGGGUCUAUUUCUGGGCUCCCUAUUCUGUUCCAUUGAUCAUGUGUCUGUUUUUGUGCCAGUACAAUAUGAUGAUGACAGCUUUGUAAUAGAGCUUCAAAUCCUGAACUGUGAUGCCACCAACUUUAGCUUUCUUUUUCAAUAUUCCUUUGGCUAUUCGAGGUCUUUUCUGGUUCCAUAUAAAUUUUAGGAUUAUUUGUUACAUUUCUUUGAAAAACAUGGAUGGGAUUUUGAUAGGGAAUGCAUUAAAUGUGUAGACUGCUUUUAGGUAGCAUAGACAUUUUCACAAUAUUUGUUCUUCCAAUCCAUGAGCAUGGAACAUUUUUCCAUUUCUUUGUGUCUUUCUCAAUUUCUUUCAUGAGUACUUUAUAGUUUUCUCAGUAUAGAUUCUUUGCCUCUUUGGUUAGGUUUAUCCCAGGGUAUCUUAUGGUUUGGGGUGCAGUUGUAAAUGGGAUUGACUCCUUAAUUUCUCUUCUGUCUUGUUGUUGGUGUAAAGAAAUGCAACCGAUUUCUGCGCAUUGAUUUUAUAUCCUGACACUUUACAAAAAUAUGGAACACUUCACGAAUUUGUGUGUCAUCCUUGCGCAGGGGCCAUGCUAAUCUCCGUAUCGUUCCAAUUUUAGGAUAUGUGCUGCUGAAGUGAGGACUUAAGUGGUGUAUUUUUAUGAAAGUUUUCUAUCAUUAUUACUGCAGAGAAAUUUGAGACUAUAAAACAGGAAGAGGCUGAUGAGCAAGAAAAAGCUAACUGCCUGAAUGAGUUUCUUGUGAGGUGGGAAGACGUGGGAGUCAGGACACAGAUGGCUUUUCUCAGACAGGAAGAGAAACCUUUCCCUGAAUCCUUAGGAAGCCAGUGUGGUGGCAUGUAGGCAUGAAAAGUUGCCCAUAGUAUGUGAGUGAGUAGCAAAACAGAAAAACAGUUUUACUGCUAUUUCAGAAACAAGUAGAUGUAAGUGAGGAAAAUCAAACUUAUGCAAAAAAUUAAAGUUUAAAACAUGGAAGCUUAAUAACUGGUGUCCAUAGCGUGUAGCAUGUAGAGUAGGUAACAGGCAACUGCAUAUCCACGUGGUUUUAAUCUCCAGAGCAGAACGUACUUUACUGAUUUGGGAAGAAAAUCACUUAGCAUUCACAGGAUCACCAAGGAAGAACCGAUAGUUCAUGUGCCAAAUAUCAAGGGCAUUGGCUACUCAGAAGUGGGGGCUGGAGGUCAGUAGCGUGGGUGUCACUCGGGAGUUUUUAGAAGUGCGGACUCCCAGGAUUCACCCCAGACCUACUGCAUAAGCAUCUGCAUUUUAUUAAGAUCCUCCGGGGAUUCAUGUGUGCAUUAAAGUUUGAGAAGUGAUCUGCUGGGGCACCACUCCAUUCCCAGUGCGGUGUGGUGAUAUCUGUGCUUAGUGGAGGGAUGGAAGUGCCUGUGGAGUUGGGGACGUAAGUGGGCCUAAUGGCGACAAGAGGUGGUCAGAAUGGCCCCCGGUGGCACUUUACUGAAACCUACGUGAAAAUCAAAAGGGAUGGAAUGAAAGGAGACAUGUUUUUGUUUUGUUUUUGUAUAAAAUCAAUUGCUUUUUCCAGUAAGGCUGUGCUAUGGACUGAAUGCUUGUGUCCCUCAAAACUCGUGUGUUGAGACGAAUCCCUAAUGUGAUAGUAUUAGGAGAUGGAGUCUUUGGGAAGUGAUUAGGUCCUCAGGAUGGAGACCUUGUGAGUGGGAUUGUAUAAGGGGUAAGUGCCCUUAUAAAAAGAGAGAUGAGAGCUGACCCUUUCUAUUCUCUGCCUUGCCAGGAGAAGAUGGCUACCCGCAAACCAGGAAGCAGUGGGGCCACCCUCGCCAGACAUUGGAUCUUGCUGGCACCUUGAUCUUGGACUUCUCCACCUCCAAAACUGUGAGGAAUAAAUGUCGUUUUAGUCACCCAGUCUGUGGUAUCUGUUAUAUUCUGCUCUGACAACCUUAGCUGAGGCUGGUUAGGUCAAUGCAGUUAAUAAAACUCAUAGAUGUAGACCCCCACUGCCUCUCCUCCUACAGACUAGUUGACACUGGCUGCUGGAAAACUGGACUGAACAGAGACAGGCAUGUUCUCUAGAGGCCAGCAUGAGCUAGCCUGGGGCCAGAGCCACACAGGCUAUUAAAAAAUCCUCUCCCGGCCUUUACCAUGUCCCAAGGGAGGAGAAGAACAGGGAGUCAACCUAGUGUAGGCUUACCAGUACCAGUUGGCUCUAGAGUUUGUCAUAUCCGGUUAUAAAUCCAAGUCCUAGAUUCAGGACCUGGAUAUUACACUUACGGACUGUGAGAUCUUGGGCAAGUUAUUUGACCUCUGUGUGCUUCGGUUUCCCAAUUUGUAGAAUGGGGAUAAUAGUAUCUACGUCAGUAAGUGGUGUUCCUUGUGAAGAUGAACUGAGAUAAUGCCCCCGAGGUAAAAUGCCUAAGUAAGCAUAGCGCUUGGCAAAUGCUGUUGAUAUAUUUUAUUAUUGUUAUUAUCAUGAGGAGAGCUCUGUUGUCCUUGCUGGAAUUGGAGGGGAUGGAGAUUGGUAGGUAGCUUGAGAAGAAGUAGUUUGGAAAUAACUCUUGAGGGAAUAAGAGAAGGAACUCAUCAGGGACAUUUAAGAUGUCCCAAGGGAGGGGCAACUUGGUGGCUCCGUCGGUUAAGUAUCUGUCUGCGGCCCAGGUCAUGAUGCCAGGGUCCUGGGACUGGCCCAUGUUAGGCUCCUGGCUCGGGUGGGGGGAGUCUGCUUCUCCCUCUUCCUCUGUCCUUCUCCGCAGCUCAUUCUCUCUUUCUCAAAUAAAAUAUUUUUGUCCCACAGGAUUGCAGGGUAUUCUCAUAUUGUUCAGCAGCCCAGGUAGAUGGAGAAUGUGUUCAGUUGGAUCGAUCUGCAUGUAUAACCGAAGAAGUGAGACGAUUAGGGGAUUGACGUGAAAAGGUCCUUCCCUGAAAGACAGAGGAGACCAGACUGAAGUAACAGUGAUAGAGAAGAUCACGCGAAAACAAAGCUGCAGGUGGAGUUCGCGACUGAGGGGCUCCCUGGACGUUUUCCGGAUGAAAAAUUGGGAUGGAUGAGCUGUCAGUGCGGCUUGUGGAGCGCGGCCCCGCGGCACUCUGGCCGGGCCCCCCAAGAGAUCACAUGGGCGUGUUGUGACAAGGUAAGGAAACAGAAGCAGUUCAUGCUCUGCAAAUUUUAAUGACAUUUCUCUGUUUCCCCUGGAAAUUUUAUAUGGAUCCUACUUUUAGUAUUUCUCUUACAGGAAAAGAAAUCCUCUUUUUGCUCUAAUAAGAAAAAGAAGUUUGUAAUUAGAUGCUAAUGUUGUCAAUCAUCUCUGUCCAAGAAAGGCUGUGAAAGGGGGUCAAGUUGUCUAGCCGCUUGGAUGCAGUUCCUGAGUUCAGUCCCUGGAGGGUUACCAUAGCAUACCUGGGGUCAAUCUCUCCCUUUAAGGUUUCAAGUGAUUUGGGCUUCUAGAGGGAAAAAAAAGUGGCCUGAAGAGGGAUGGAUGCUAGCUGAGUAUUAUUUGACUUUAUCUUGGGUAAACAAUGAAGGGGGAUGAAAAAUAAAAACCCUCUUUGAAUGCAAUGCUGUUCUCUUGUGUGCAGAAAUUUUUGUCUUGCUAGUUUUAUCAAGAGUCACUUAAUUAACAGGAGCCUAGCAGAGAAAAGAGAAUCACUCCUUUUUUUUUUUUUACAAGAUCCUAGAACAGUGAGGUAUGGGCAAAGAAAAAUGUUGUCAUGAUUUGAACAAUGGUGCUCAAAAGGAAAUAUUAUGAAAUCUACAUCCCUCCACUGAGCAAUUGAACAGCAUGCCUUACAUUUGAUUAGUGCUUUAUAAUUUCCAAAACACUUACUUAUUUGCUUGUUUGUUCCUUAAAACAAAUGUAUGAGGUAGACAUUUAUUAUGCCCAUUGUACACUGGAGAUAAUCGAGGCUCCAAGAGGUUAAGGGGCAGUGCCAUCAUCUGAACCAUGGCUGGUGUGCCCCUAAGCCAAUGGACGCGCCUUCCACUGACGCAUCUAUUCAGUGUUAUUUUUAAGUAUUUUAACUAUCAAAAUCAGCUUUGAUCCUGUUGUUGUGGACUAAUGAGGAAUAUGUCUUUUUAUUUAUUUGACAGAGAGAGAGAGA
Molecule: long non-coding RNA, 4315 nt
Organism: Mustela lutreola (European mink)
Lineage: Eukaryota; Metazoa; Chordata; Mammalia; Carnivora; Mustelidae
Exons: 3
Source: RefSeq, a predicted model, not a curated record